Molecule: small nucleolar RNA, 130 nt
Organism: Acomys russatus (golden spiny mouse)
Lineage: Eukaryota; Metazoa; Chordata; Mammalia; Rodentia; Muridae
Product: small nucleolar RNA SNORA17
Exons: 1
Source: RefSeq, a predicted model, not a curated record
CCUGCCCCUAGAGAUGUUGCAGGUGUGGCUCUUGUGUCACAUGCGUCAGUAGGUGGCAGAGAGGUGAAAGGCUAUGUCUAUGCUCAGCGUUCUGACCUAUGAACAUCUGAAUGAUUAGUAGCUUAACAUU